GGGAUCUUGUCCUUUCAGUCAUGACCCAAAGCUCACAACCUCGGACCUCCUUCUUGAAGCGGCCCCGGCUCGACCCAAAAAAUUUCCACACCGGCGGUUCUGGUGAGACGAGCAGCCGUUCUGGAUUCAUUCCUGUUGUCUCUGCUCUGGAUGAGACUCAUGGAGAAGUCAGCCCGCUGCAGUGUAGCCCUGCGCCUGUCAGCGACUCCCAGAGAGGAGCUUCUUCCUCGUUCAUGUUUGUGGGCAGCUUGCAUCCCAUUCGGUUGCACUACCGCCAACUGCUGGUGAGGAGGGCUUACUACGGGUGGGGUUUUCUUGCCGUGAGUAUCGGCGGCUGGUAUCGGUAGCCUUCACGAGUACCCGAUACCUUGAAAUAAGGCCAGUAUCGGCGCUGAGGAGCGAUGCCGAACAAUACCGAUCAGUGCCGGGCAGCGCCGAGGACGAGGAGCGCGGUGCGUCGGACCGCUGCACAGCGGGGCACACGGAACACAGAGCGUCGUGGCGCCCCUUGUACGACCGCGGCGCCCCCCUCGGGGCGUGGCCUGGUUAUGCUACUCCCUCCCACCCUCCCAGUUCCCUCUCUCUUUAUCUUUCUCUUUUUCUCUCUCUCUUGCUCUCUGAGCAUUUCCGUCCCAGUCCUGUCCGGCAGCCAUGCCAAAUGCCAGUUUCAAAUAAAGGCAGCAGCAGGAGGAGAUUCAGUCUCCUCCUGCUGCUAACAUUAAAAUCUGUUCGGACGGUACAAGGCUCCAAUCAUACAAUAUUGCACGCCCCAGCAGCCGAACAGGACAAGGGAAAAAAACAAACAAACACAAAAAAAAAAAAACUAAAAUAACAGUCAGCCUACCAGGCUGCUUCGCCUCGAUGCCCAAAAGGCGUUUGACUGCAUGAAGUGACUGACACUGGAGGUUUUUGUGUUUCAUUCAACAAAAUCCACUUUUUGAGCUUUGUAUAAUGCUUUAGUGUCAUUUCCCUGUUAAAAACUGUGUGAAAACUGUUUAUAAAAAUCCCAAAUCAUGGAUCAGAAUCAAUGGAUGUUGUUCACGGGGAGGAAAAUAAUGUUUAGGGAAAUAUGAUAAAAGUAUCUCUCUCUCUCUCUCUCUCUCUCUCUCUCUCUCUCUCUCUCUCUCUCUCUCUCUCUCUAUCCUGCAGCUCAUGCAGGAAAAUCAUGUUUUCCUCAACACUCACAAUUUUUCUGUCUCAACAGAGAGGAAAUUAUGGUCUAUCAUGGACUCAGGAUUUACCAGAUGGACAAAGGACUAAUAUAUGUUGAUCAAAGGUUUCAGGGACAAACAAUUCAAUCAUUCACUCAACUUCAAAAAGAAUUUAAUCCACCAGCCCAUGACUUUUAUAAAUUCUUACAACUAAGACAUGAUCUACAGAAACAGCAGGAGUGGGACAAUAUUUGAAAAACACCAUCUAAAUUAGAAGAAGCGCUGUGGUCAUUCUCAGAGAACAAGUCAACAAAGGGGUUUUAAACCAGCAACCUGAAAGGAUUGGUGUCCAGGGUUUUAAACCAAAUCUUUGGGACCUUCAGGACUUAAGGCUUCUCUGUGAGGACUAUGUAAUGGACAGGGGGUUCUCGCCAUGCAACACUAAGAACAUGAGAUCUGAAAAUUUAAAAUCAAUCCGAGACUUUACAGGAAGCCAGUGACGAUGACAGAGAACCAGGUAAUGACGGACGUUCUUGGUGAACCUAUCAGUCGUCUGGCUGCAGAGUUUUGUACCAUUUGAAAGUCGUUAAGAGCAGCCAUGAUGAAAAAAGUGAAAAGCAGAAUCACAGUAAUCAGUUCAUGAUGAAAUCAAAGCCUGAACGAUCCGUUCCAGGUCGGACUGGGACGAGAGUUUUCUGACCUGAGAGACGCUGAGAGCUGCAGAGUGAGGAGGAGGAAGCAGACUGACCUGGAAGCGCUGCUGUGUAGACGAUCAGAGAGGUCAGAGCUGAGGAGGACAGGCAGGUUAGUCAGACCUCCACCCGGCCUGACGGAGCAGACGUGGAGCAGAGAGGAGUGUGUCUCACCCAGCAGACGUCUGUCCUCCAUGGUGUCCGCUCUCACAGUCAGCCUGCUGGCCGCUGUUCAACACAGUCAUUGAAGCCCGC
RNAcentral lists this long non-coding RNA (2098 nucleotides) under Salarias fasciatus (jewelled blenny). RNAcentral's name for it is "lncRNA (ENSSFAG00005000442.1)". The record is from RNAcentral. Lineage: Eukaryota; Metazoa; Chordata; Actinopteri; Blenniiformes; Blenniidae.